Molecule: ribosomal RNA, 393 nt
Filed under: uncultured Clostridium sp.
Lineage: Bacteria; Bacillati; Bacillota; Clostridia; Eubacteriales; Clostridiaceae
Description: bacterial SSU rRNA
Rfam family: Bacterial small subunit ribosomal RNA
Source: RNAcentral
UGGGGAAUAUUGGGGCAAUGGGGCGCAAGCCUGACCCAGCAACGCCGCGUGAAGGAAGAAGGCUUUCGGGUUGUAAACUUCUUUUAAGGGGGAAGAGGAGAAGACGGUACCCCUAGAAUAAGCCACGGCUAACUACGUGCCAGCAGCCGCGGUAAUACGUAGGUGGCAAGCGUUGUCCGGAUUUACUGGGUGUAAAGGGCGUGUAGCCGGGUCUGCAAGUCAGAUGUGAAAUCCAUGGGCUUAACCCAUGAACUGCAUUUGAAACUGUGGAUCUUGAGUGCUGGAGGGGCAAGCGGAAUUCCUGGUGUAGCGGUGAAAUGCGUAGAUAUUAGGAGGAACACCAGUGGCGAAGGCGGCUUGCUGGGGCUUAACUGACGCUGAGGCACGAAAGCA